GUGGAUUAGGCAUGCAAGUCGAACGAGAAAGGGUGAAUCCCGCAAGGGUGGAUCCCUAGUACAGUGGCGAAAGGGUGAGUAACGCAUAAACAACCUGCCCUCCAGCGGGGGACAACGUCGGGAAACUGACGCUAAUACCGCAUGUGCCGUCGUGACCGCAUGGUUGUGACGUGAAAGGCCGGGACCGUAAGGCCGGCCACUGGGGGAGGGGUUUAUGUUCUAUCAGCUAGUUGGCGGGGUAAUGGCCCACCAAGGCUCUGACGGAUAGCCGGACUGAGAGGUCGACCGGCCACACUGGGACUGGGACACUGCCCAGACUCCUACGGGAGGCUGCAGUCGAGGAUCUUCGGCAAUGCGCGCAAGCGUGACCGAGCGACGCCGCGUGAAGGAUGAAGGCCUUCGGGUCGUAAACUUCUGUCACAGGUUAAGAAUAAGGUUCACUGAAUAAGUGAGCCGAUGACUAAGGCCUGAGAGGAAGCCCUGGCUAACCUCGUGCCAGCAGCCGCGGUAAUACGAGGAGGGCAAACGUUGUUCGGAUUUACUGGGCUUAAAGGGCGCGUAGGCGGCCGCAUAUGUCGGGGUUGAAAUCCCUCAGCUCAACUGAGGAAUUGGUUCCGAAACUGUGCGGCUUGAAUACAUCAGGGGCGUGUGGAACUCCAGGUGGAGCGGUGAAAUGCGUAGAUAUCUGGAGGAACGCCGGUGGCGAAAGCGACACGCUGGGGUGCUAUUGACGCUGGGGCGCGAAAGCUAGGGGAGCAAACAGGAUUAGAUACCCUGGUAGUCCUAGCCGUAAACGAUGGAUACUAAGUAGCGGUGUCUCCGAUGGCAUCGCUGCCGAAGCAAAAGUAUUAAGUAUCCCGCCUGGGGAGUACGGUCGCAAGACUAAAACUCAAAGGAAUUGACGGGGGCUCGCACAAGCGGUGGAGGAUGUUGUUUAAUUCGAGGCAACGCGAAGAACCUUACCUGGGUUUGACAUGUACGUAGUAGGGACCCGAAAGGGCGACGAGCCGGAGCAAUCCGGAAGCGUACACAGGUGCUGCAUGGCUGUCGUCAGCUCGUGCCGUGAGGUGUUGGGUUAAGUCCCGUAACGAGCGAAACCCUUGUCAGUAGUUGCUAACAGGUCACGCUGAGGACUCUACUGAGACUGCCGGUGUUAAACCGGAGGAAGGUGGGGAUGACGUCAAGUCCUCAUGGCCCUUAUUACCCAGGGCUACAAACGUCCUACAAUGGCCGGUACAGAGAGAUGCAAGACCGUAAGGUGGAGCAAAUCUAAAGCCGUCCCAAGUUCGGAUCGUGGGCUGCAAUUCGUCCACGUGAAGCUGGAAUCGCUAGUAAUCGCGCAUCAGCCACGGCGCGGUGAAUGUGUUCCCGAGCCUUGUACACACCGCCCGUCAAGCCAUGAAAGCCGGGGGUACCCAAAGUCGCCAGCCCAACCGCAAGGAGGACAGCGCCUAAGGUAAACUCGGUGAUUGGGACUAAGUCGGAACAAGGUA
This 1493-nucleotide ribosomal RNA is filed under the name metagenome. RNAcentral describes it as "bacterial SSU rRNA". It matches the Rfam family "Bacterial small subunit ribosomal RNA". The record is from RNAcentral.